CGCAUCCUCCCUCUCUCUCUCUCGCCGGCUCCGCCGCUCCGACUCGGUCGGCGGCGAACCACCGCCGCCGAACCCUCGCGCUCCCCCCCCUCGGAGAUACCGUCCUUGGAUUCUUCUUCAUCCGCCCCAUGACCAACCUAAUGUAUCUUUGAGCAGAAUGCUGAGGAGAUUAGUCCUACCAACCACAAAAUUUUGAAGAUGAGGACCUUUUCCCCCAUAUUAUGCAGUUGUUAUCAGCGUACCACUGUUUCUUCUGUCACAACAACAUUUGUACAUUGACUACCUGAUUUUUGGCGGAACAAAUCGACUUCAACAAGUUGGCUCUUAACGUGGCCAAUGUGACAAACCCAUCCAGAUCAAAGGAAGCAAUGACACCACGGCUCCACGCAUAAUGGCAAUAUGAAAACAAUCAAGAGAGCUCACGAGGUGAAAUAAUGAGAAGCAAUGCAAGCAUCACAUCGAAGAGGUGAUGAAGAACUUACCUCAUCAUCCAGGUAUCAUAUCGUGAUAUCGAGCUCCUCGUCGUUACGGAUCGCCAGCAGCAUGUGCUGCGUUCCCAGUGAGCUCGAGCACUUGGAGGAAGGAAUAGAAGAGAAUGGGCAGGCAAUCCGAAUCAACUCGGGGUACUCAGCGGUGGGGGCAUGAGUGUGCAUGCGACAAGUGCGUGGGCCAAACCUCGGCGGCGAGGUACUCGAGGACGGUGGCGAGGUAGACAGCAUGGAGACGCGCGGCAAGGCAGACAGCAUGGAGGCGCGUGGCGUGGACGAGGCAUGCUGUGCGGAGGAGCAAAUUAAUCAUUAGCUAUCCCGUUCGUAUGUGAUACCAUAGGCUAGUUUUUCUGCUCUUAGAAAGGGUGCUAACAUAAUUGUCAUUGGGCCAACAUGUCAUAGACAUAUGAGAACCAACAUGUCAUAGACAGCAGGUGGCAAAUAUGCUAGGUGCCAUUUUCAAGAGUGGCAAAAAGUUAAA
Molecule: long non-coding RNA, 969 nt
Organism: Oryza brachyantha (malo sina)
Lineage: Eukaryota; Viridiplantae; Streptophyta; Magnoliopsida; Poales; Poaceae
Exons: 5
Source: RefSeq, a predicted model, not a curated record